This 253-nucleotide ribosomal RNA is filed under the name uncultured bacterium. RNAcentral's name for it is "partial 16S ribosomal RNA". It matches the Rfam family "Bacterial small subunit ribosomal RNA", at positions 524 to 776 of the family's 1533-position model. The record is from RNAcentral.
UACAGAGGGUGCUAGCGUUGUUCGGAAUCAUUGGGCGUAAAGGGCGUGUAGGCGGUUUGUUAAGUCAUGUGUGAAAUCCCUCGGCUCAACCGGGGAAGGACGCAUGAAACUGGCAAGCUAGAGUACCAAAGAGGGGGGUGGAAUUCCCGGUGUAGCGGUGAAAUGCGCAGAGAUCGGGAGGAACACCCGUAGCGAAGGCGGCACUCUGGGCCGAUACUGACGCUGAGGAGCGAAAGCGUGGGGAGCAAACAGG